This 252-nucleotide ribosomal RNA is filed under the name uncultured bacterium. RNAcentral's name for it is "partial 16S ribosomal RNA". It matches the Rfam family "Bacterial small subunit ribosomal RNA", at positions 524 to 776 of the family's 1533-position model. The record is from RNAcentral.
UACGGAGGAUGCGAGCGUUAUCCGGAUUUAUUGGGUUUAAAGGGUGCGCAGGCGGCACGGCAAGCCGGCGGUCAAAUCGCGGGGCUCAACCCCGCCCAGCCGUCGGAACUGCCGGGCUAGAGUGGGCGAGAAGUGCGCGGAAUGCGUGGUGUAGCGGUGAAAUGCAUAGAUAUCACGCAGAACUCCGAUUGCGAAGGCAGCAUACCGGCGCCCUACUGACGCUGAGGCACGAAAGCGUGGGUAUCGAGCAGG